GAUUUAUUAAGGUGGUACCUAACACUACAGGGAGAUAACUCUGUAAAAUCAGCUAAACGUUUUAAUUAUGUUGUGUUGUAAAGGGAAUAUUAAGCUUCUCAAUGAUCAAAAUUGUUGUUUGUCAAACUACUACUGUGGAUUCAUUAUUAUUCGUUGGAUACCAAUUUUCGUGGAAUUCGUGGGCACAGUUAAACCACGAAAUUAAAUAUUCAACGAAUGAUAAUUUUUCUAUAGGUUUGUAUGCAGACUUCAGCAAAACCACGAAAUUUAAUAUCCACGAAUAUGUAAUUUUUUCUUUAUCCACGAAAAUUGGUACCCACGAAAAUAAAUGAAUCCACAGUAUAUAACCAGUGUAAUUUUUCUGACAAAAUGGUUGGUUCAAAAUAUUUGAAAUUUUUAUAUACUUGUUAAAGGGUCAAAGUAAAUACUUUGUCAAAAUUUUAUGAAAAUUAAACGAGCC
Molecule: long non-coding RNA, 460 nt
Filed under: Mytilus galloprovincialis (Mediterranean mussel)
Lineage: Eukaryota; Metazoa; Mollusca; Bivalvia; Mytilida; Mytilidae
Source: RNAcentral